UUAUAUGGUCAAGAAGAGAAGCGCAAACGGUGGAUGCCUUGGCAGUAAGAGGCGAAGAAGGACGUGGAAUCCUGCGAAAAGCUAUGGGGAGCUGGAAACGAGCGAUGAGCCAUAGAUGUCCGAAUGGGGGAACCCGGCUGCAGCGAUGCGGUCAUUUGCAUUUGAAUACAUAGGAUGCAAAGGCGAACUCGGGGAACUGAAACAUCUAAGUACCCGAAGGAAAAGAAAUCAAGAGAGAUUCUCCAAGUAGCGGCGAGCGAACGGGGAGG
Molecule: ribosomal RNA, 269 nt
Filed under: Legionella pneumophila
Lineage: Bacteria; Pseudomonadati; Pseudomonadota; Gammaproteobacteria; Legionellales; Legionellaceae
Description: partial 23S ribosomal RNA
Rfam family: Bacterial large subunit ribosomal RNA
Source: RNAcentral